UAACUCUGGGCUUUCUUCAUUCUCGUACAAAUCUUUCGCCUUUUACUAAAGAUUUCCGUGGAGAAGGCCAAUUUAAUGAGUGUAUAACUAUUUUUUGUUGGCUUGUUAACGCGAGCCG
This 118-nucleotide small nuclear RNA is filed under the name Hydra vulgaris (swiftwater hydra). RNAcentral's name for it is "U5 spliceosomal RNA". It matches the Rfam family "U5 spliceosomal RNA". From Rfam's summary of the family: U5 RNA is a component of both types of known spliceosome. The record is from Rfam by way of RNAcentral. Lineage: Eukaryota; Metazoa; Cnidaria; Hydrozoa; Anthoathecata; Hydridae.